UUACGUCAUCCCCACCUUCCUCCGGUUUGUCACCGGCAGUUUCUCCAAAGUGCCCGGCAUAACCCGAUGGCAACUGGAGACGAGGGUUGCGCUCGUUGCGGGACUUAACCUGACACCUCACGGCACGAGCUGACGACAACCAUGCAGCACCUUGUAAAUUGUCUUGCGAAAGGUCCGUUUCCAAACCGGUCAAUCUACAUUUAAGCCUUGGUAAGGUUCCUCGCGUAUCAUCGAAUUAAACCACAUGCUCCACCGCUUGUGCGGGUCCCCGUCAAUUCCUUUGAGUUUUAAUCUUGCGACCGUACUCCCCAGGCGGGAUGCUUAAAGCGUUAGCUGCGCCACUGACGAGCAAGCUCGCCAACGGCUAGCAUCCAUCGUUUACGGCGUGGACUACCAGGGU
This 400-nucleotide unclassified non-coding RNA is filed under the name uncultured fungus. Its description in RNAcentral is "sequence contains ITS1". Lineage: Eukaryota; Fungi. The record is from RNAcentral.